AGGUUGAGCUGUGAUGGGCGAUGAAGUGUUGCUGAGUGGAGUUUUUGUCGAACUUAAAGUAGGCUCAGAAAGGAUACAUGUCUUCAUACAUGUAUCUCAGUUAUGCAUUCCGCUAUAAUCACUGAUUAUUUCAGUUACGCCUUCCGUUGCAAACUCUGAUAAUGUUUUAGCCAAGCCCCUAACGAUGCCUUUUUCCUUUUAAGGAAUAUAACGC
Molecule: long non-coding RNA, 214 nt
Filed under: Salvia miltiorrhiza (redroot sage)
Lineage: Eukaryota; Viridiplantae; Streptophyta; Magnoliopsida; Lamiales; Lamiaceae
Description: long non-coding RNA (SMIL_LNC011133)
Source: RNAcentral